UACGUAGGGGGCGAGCGUUGUCCGGAAUUACUGGGCGUAAAGCGUGCGCAGGCGGUUAUGUAAGACAGUUGUGAAAUCCCCGGGCUCAACCUGGGAACUGCAUCUGUGACUGCAUAGCUAGAGUACGGUAGAGGGGGAUGGAAUUCCGCGUGUAGCAGUGAAAUGCGUAGAUAUGCGGAGGAACACCGAUGGCGAAGGCAAUCCCCUGGACCUGUACUGACGCUCAUGCACGAAAGCGUGGGGAGCAAACAGG
RNAcentral lists this ribosomal RNA (253 nucleotides) under uncultured bacterium. Its description in RNAcentral is "partial 16S ribosomal RNA". It matches the Rfam family "Bacterial small subunit ribosomal RNA", at positions 524 to 776 of the family's 1533-position model. The record is from RNAcentral.